This 299-nucleotide long non-coding RNA is filed under the name Medicago truncatula (barrel medic). RNAcentral describes it as "long non-coding RNA (MTRU_LNC007984)". Lineage: Eukaryota; Viridiplantae; Streptophyta; Magnoliopsida; Fabales; Fabaceae. The record is from RNAcentral.
CAAAACAUCAAAUAAGGGAGUACGUAUACAUUAAAACAGCUUAAGGCAAUCCAAAACAGUCAUGAAAGCCUGCCAAGUCUUGAACAUGAAACAAAUGGUAAAUACAUAUGCUAUGCGGACAAUCUUGCAGAUGGAAUGGCAUGAACAAACCAGCACUAAGUUAUCAAUUAACCUGCAAUACAACAAAUGAUUUAAAUGUGAUCAAGGGUUACUGUGUCUACAAUAACAUACCCAAAUUAGGUUUACCAUAACAGUUGUCAAUUUACCUUAAACGCAUUCAGUAACUUAUAGGACAGAAA